GAAGCGGUAGCUCAGCGGUAGAGCAGCCGAUUGCAGCUCGGCAGGUCACUUGUUCAAUCCAGGUUCGCUUCU
Molecule: transfer RNA, 72 nt
Filed under: Exutisphaerella laricina CBS 326.52
Lineage: Eukaryota; Fungi; Ascomycota; Dothideomycetes; Mycosphaerellales; Mycosphaerellaceae
Description: tRNA-Cys (GCA) (tRNA-Cys-GCA-1-1)
Rfam family: tRNA
About the family: Transfer RNA (tRNA) molecules are approximately 80 nucleotides in length. Their secondary structure includes four short double-helical elements and three loops (D, anti-codon, and T loops). Further hydrogen bonds mediate the characteristic L-shaped molecular structure. tRNAs have two regions of fundamental functional importance: the anti-codon, which is responsible for specific mRNA codon recognition, and the 3' end, to which the tRNAs corresponding amino acid is attached (by aminoacyl-tRNA synthetases). tRNAs cope with the degeneracy of the genetic code in two manners: having more than one tRNA (with a specific anti-codon) for a particular amino acid; and 'wobble' base-pairing, i.e. permitting non-standard base-pairing at the 3rd anti-codon position.
Source: RNAcentral